UUUUUUUUUUUUUUUUUUUUAGAAGGAAUCUCAUUCUGUUGCCCAGGCUCAAGUGCAGUGGCACAAUCUUGGUUCACUGCAACCUCUGCCUCCCAGGUUCAAGCAAUGCUCCUGCCUCUGCCUCCCAAGUAACUGGGAAUACAGGAAUGCCCCACCACACCUGGCUAAUUUUUUGUAUUUUUAGUAGAGAUGAGGUUUCACCAUGCUGGUCUCAAACUCCUGACCUCAAGUAAUCUGCCCACCUUGCCCUCCCAAAGUGCUGGAAUUACAGGCAUGAGCCACCGUGGAAGGCCCUGUUUCCUGACUUUUUAAUAAUUGCUAUUCUGAGUGGUGUGAGAUGGUAGCCAUACUCAGAAAACUGAAAUAGACCCCUUCCUUACGCCUUAUACAAAAAUUAACGCACGAUGGUUUAAAGACUUAAAUGUAAAACCCAAAACCAUAAAACCCUAGAAGAAAACCUAGGCAGUACCAUUCAGGACAUAGGCAUGGGCAAAGACUUCGUGAUGAAAACACCAAAAGCGAUUGCAACGAAAGCUAAAAUUGACAAGUGGGAACUAAUUAAACUAAAGAGCUUCUGCACAGAAAAAAGAAACAAACAAAAAAACAAACAAACAAAAACAGGCAACUUACAGAAUGGGAGAAAAUUUUUGCAAUCUACCCAUCUGACAAAGGUCCAAUAUCCAGAGUCUACAAGGAACUUAAAAAAUUCACAAGAAUAAAACAAACAACCCCGUCAAAAAGUGGGCAAAAUAUUUGAACAGAGAUUUCUCAAAAGAAGAAAUUUAUGUGGCCAAAAAAUGUAUAAAAAAAGUUCGUCAUCACUGAUCAUUAGAGAAAUGUAAAUGCAUCAUUUUUUAUCAACCUAUAACAAAUUCUUAGAUCUAAAGUGAGUAUCUUGUAAACAGCAUAUAGUUGGAUGGUGUUUAUUUUUGCAUUUAUCUAAUCUAUGCCUUUUGAUUAGAAAAUGUAAUCUAUAUGUAAACAAAUUGCUAAUAGAGACGAACUUAUACUUGCCAUUUUGUUAUUUUUUCCUGAUUCUCAUUUAUUCCAUUAUUGCCUUCCUUUGUUUUUAGUAGUUUUUAAAUGUAGUGCCAUGUUUUUAUUCUCUUUUUUAUAUAUAUAUAUAUUUUAUUUAUAUUUCCUUAGUGGUUACCAUGGAGAUUGUACUUAACAUUGUAGAGUCUUAACAAUUUAUUUUUUAAUUUGCACAAAUUUAACUCUAAUUGUGUACUAAAACUGUAAUUUUCUACUUCUCCCAUUCCCUUAGACUUGAAGGGAAAGACCCAAUUCUAACAGUAUUCAUCAUCUGCUAAGUGAAGAGCUCUCGGGCCCUGAAUAACCAACAGAAAUACUCAGGUAACAUAUUGAUGGCUUUGGGUGAGAGUCUGAGACUUGCUGGUCUCGGGAGAGAUUCAGCACAUUCACACCUGUAGUGGCUAUGGGACAAGACUCCUUUUGCUUGAGAAAUCAGAGGAAAAAGUAAAGGGGACUUUGUCAAGCCUUAGGUACCAGGACAGCCACAGAGAAAUAAAGCACCACUAAGUGGACUCUUGGGGUCCUUGAUUUCAGGACUUGGCUCUUGGAUGGCAUUUCUAGACCUGCCCUGGGCCAAAGGAGAACUCACUCCACUGAAGAAUAUAAGUCCCAGGUCAAGCAGCAUGACUUAAGAGCCCUUGGGUCUUAAGGGAACAUUAACUGUAGCCUCAAAAUACUCUACAUGCACCUAUGGUGGUAGUGGCCAUUGAGUGAGGUUCCUCUGCCUUUGAGAGGGGGAGAAAAGAGUGGGAAGGACUGUAUCUAGUGGUUUGAAUCCCAGCUCAUCUGCAGUACAACAGAAUACCAGGUAGACUUCUAAGAUUAUUGAAUCUAGUCACUGACUCUGAGGCAGCACCUCUGGACUGCUCAGAGACUGGGGGAACUCACCACCCUGAAGGAAAACAGGCCUGGCUUGUGUUGCCACCUUUUGAUUGUAGAGCCCCAUGGUCUUGAUUGAACAUACUCAUGGGACAGGGAGUGGUUACAGCAGACCACAAAUAAGAUACAGUGCUGUGCUGUGCUAGCUACAGAUCUGACCCAGCACAGCCCUAGUGGCCACAGGACUCUUGUGUCACUCCAGUCCAACUUCAGGUGGCUCACAGCAGAGAGUGUUUAGGAGAAAUUAAAGGAAAGAAACAAGUGUUUCCACCUGGUAAUCCAGAGAAUUCUCUCAGAUAUUUUCCAAGACUAUCAAGACAGCAACUCUAUGACCCUGCAGGAACCACAGUGCUACUGGGCUUGGGAUGUCCUACAAAGCAGAUACAGCUCAUAUCACAAUAUCCAAGUCCUUAUGGGUAUCUGGAAAGCCUUCCCAAAAAAGAUGAGUAAAAACAAGCCCAGACUGUGAAGACUACAAUAAAUACCCAAUUCUUCAAUGUCCAGACAUAGAUGAACAUCCACAAGUAUCAAGAUAAUUCAGGAAAACACGACGUCACCAAAUGAACUAAAUAAACCAGCAGGAACUAAUCUUGCAGAAACAAAGAUAUGUGACCUUUCCAGGAGAGAAUUCAAAAUAAUUGUCUUGUGGAAAAGAAAACUCAAAUGAAUUCAAGAUAAAAUCAAAGAAAGAAUUCAGAAUUCUGUCAGAUAAAAUUAACAAAGUUAUUCAAAUAAUUUAAAAGAAUCAAACAGAAAUUCUGGAGCUGAAAAUGCAAUUAGCAUACUGAAGAAUGCAUCAGGUUUUCAAUAACAUAAUCAAUCAUCAGAAGAAUUAAUGAACUCGAAGACAGGCUAUUUGAAAAUACAAAGUCAGAAAACACACCAAAAAAAAGAAACAAUAAAGCAUGUGUACAGGAUGCAGAAAAUAGGCUCAAAAGAGCAAAACUGAGAGUAAUUGGCCUUAAAGGGACAUAGAGAAAGAUAUAGGGGUAGAAAGUUUAUUCCAAGGGAUAAUAACAGAGAACUUCAUAAACCUAGAGAAUGAUAUCAAUAUCCAAGUACAAGAAGGUCAUAAGACACCAAGCAAAUUUAACCCAAAUAAGACUACUUCAAAAUGUUUAAUAAUGAAACAUCCAAAAAACAAGGGUAAAGAAAUGAUCCUAAAAGUAGCAAGAUCAAAGACAUAAAUGCUGCACAAGGAAGAUUUAAAACACCUGACAACAGACUUUUCAGUGACAACCUUACAGACCAGAAGAGAGUGGCAUGAUAUAUUUAAACUGCUGGAGGAGGAAAAAAAAUCAAAUUAAAAAACACUUUUACCCUAAAAUUGUAUAUCCAGCAAUAAUAUCCUUAAAACCUGAAGAGGAAGUAGACAUUCCAGAGAAAAACAUGACAUUUGUUUUUUUCUUGUAAAAUUGAUUGAGUUCUUUGUAGAUUCUGGAUAUUAGCCCUUUGUCAGAUGAGUAAAUUGCAAAAAUUUUCUCCCAUUCUGUAGGUUGCCUGUUCACUCUGAUGGUAGUUUCUUUUGCUGUGCAUAAGCUUUUUAGUUUACUUAGAUCUCAUUUGUCAAUUUUGACUUUUGUUGCCAUUGAUUUUGGUGUUUUAGACAUGAAGUCCUUGCCCAUGCCUAUGUCCUGAAUGGUAUUACCUAGGACCUAGGUUUUCUUCUAGAGUUUUUAUGGUUUUAGGCCUAACAUUCAAGUCUCUAAUCCAUCUUGAAUUAAUUUUCAUAUAAGGAAUAAAGAAAGAAUCCAGUUUCAGCUUUCUACUCAUGGCUAGCCAAUUUUCCCAGCACCAUUUAUUAAAUAGGGAACCCUUUCCCCAUUUCUUGUUUUUGUCAGGUUUGUCAAAGAUCAGAUGGUUGUAGAUAUGUGGUAUUAUUUUUGAGGGCUCUGUUCUGCUCCAUUGGUCUAUAUCUCUGUUUUGGUACCAGUACCAUGCUGUUUUGGUUACUGUAGCCUUGUAGUAUAGUUUGAAGUCAGGUAGCAUGAUGCCUCCAGCUUUAUUCUUUUGGCUUAGGAUUGUCUUGGCAAUGUGGGGUCUUUUUUGGUUCCAUAUGAACUUCAAAGCAGUUUUUUCCAAUUCUGUGAAGAAACUCAUUGGUAGCUUGAUGGAGAUGGCAUUGAAUCUCUAAAUUACCUUGGGCGGUAUGGCCAUUUUCACGAUAUUGAUUCCUCCUAUCCAUGAGCAUGGUAUGUUCUUCCAUUUGUUUGUGUCCUCUUUUAUUUCACUGAGCAGUGGUUUGUAGUUCUCCUUGAAGAGGUCCUUUACAUCCCUUGUAAGUUGGAUUCCUAGGUAUUUUAUUCUCUUUGGAGCUAUUGUGAAUGGGAGUUCAUUCAUGAUUUAACUCUCUGUUACCACUAUUCCUCUCCGCUUUAUGGAAACGCUCUGAGGAUACAAAGAGACAUCUGUAUGCAAGGGCAUUGGAAGUUUCUGGUGGUGUGUGUGUGUCUCUGUGUGUUAAAGUUUUAUUUUAUUUAAACAUUUAGUUUUAGGGGUACAUGUGCAGGUUUGUUAUAUAGGUAAAGUCAUGUCAAUGGGGUUUGUUGUUCAGAUUAUUUUGUCACCCAGGUACUAAGCCUACUACCCAAUAGUUAUUAGUUCCAUAUGUGAAGUUGGAACUUUGAUAUUCAUAUUAGAACCCUUUGACUUGGCAAAGAAUUUUGCUGCAAAAUUUGAGGCCACAUGUUCAUUCUCCUAGUUUCUUUCUAAAUCCCCUAGGGGACUGUGGAUAGUUGAAUUGGAACAACCACUAGGACUCAUACCUCUACCUUUGUUACUUUCCUUAGGGGAUGACUCCUACUUUGUACCCUUUUACAGGUACAGGAAGUUUUACAGGUACAGGAAGCCAUAGACUACCAGAACUGUAUGAGUACUUAGAGGUACUAAUUCCACACAAUAUUCCUUAAAUGGGAAUAGGGCCAGGAGAGAAACAGAAUAUUUGUAUCUAAAUUAUUUACCCUAUCAUUGAUCACAUUCUUUUUUUUUUUUUUUUUUUUUUUUCAAGUUUCUAUCUGAGCCCCUAUGCCAUGUUAUGCUUAGAAGUCAAGAAGUGGGCAUUGAUGGCUGUUUGGGUUAAUGAAGAAAACCCUCACAGACUGAAGGAUCAUGGACUCUGGGGCGGGGAAGAUCAUAAAGGAAUGCUUUGAAUUACUAUAUUACUACAUUAAAUUAUUAUUGAUCUCUGGGCCAUGGUUUUACUUCCUACAUCUGCGUUUCUGUGAGGAUUAUCUCAAACCCAAUAGAACAAACCAUUAUUAGUUUUUUUACUGUUCUGGAUUUAUUUAUUCAUUUAAUUAUUGUACUUUAAGUUAUGGGAUACAUGAGCAGAAUGUGCAGGUUUGAUACAUAGGUAUAUGCGUGCCAUGAUGGUUUGCAGAACCCAUCGACCCAUCAUCUACAUUAGGUUUUUCUCCUAAUGCUAUCCCUCCCUUAACUCCCCACCCCCCAACGGCCCUGGUGUGUGAUGUUCCCCUCUGUGUGUCCAUGUAUUCUCGUUGUUCAACCCCCACUAUGAGUGAGAACAUGUGGUGUAUGAUUUUCUGUUCCUGUGAUAUUUUGCUGAGAAUGAUGGUUUCCAGCUUCAUCCAUGUCCCUGCAAAUGACAUGAACUUAUCCUUCCUUAUGGCUGUAUAAUAUUCCAUGGUGUAUAUGUGCCAGAUUUUCUUUAUCCAGUCUAUCAUUGAUGGGCAUUUGGGUUAGUUCCAACUCUGUGCUAUUGUGAAUAGUGCUGCAAUAAACAUACAUGUGCAUGUGUCUUUAUAGUAGAAUGAUUUAUAAUCCUUUGAGUAUAUACCCAGCAAUGGGAUUGCUGGGUCAAAUGGUAAUUCUGGUUCUAGAUGAUUGAGGAAUCCCCACAGUGUCUUCCACAAUGGUUGAACUAAUUUACACUCCCACCAGCAGUGUAAAAGUGUUCCUAUUUCUCCACAUCUUCUCCAGAAUCUGUUGUUUCCUGACUUUAAUGAUCACCAUUCUAACCAGCCUAAGAUGGUAUCUCAUUAUGGUUUUGAUUUGCAUUUCUCUAAUGACCAGUGAGGAUGAGCUUUUUUUCAUAUGUUUGGUGGCCACAUAAAUGUCUUCUGAGAAGUUUCUGUUCAUAUCCUUUGCCCACUUUUUGAUGGGUUUGUUUGUUUUUCUCUUGUAAAUUUGUUUUGGUUUAGAUUUGCAUUUCUCCAAUGACCAGUGAUGAUGAGCUUUUUUUGAUAUAUUUGUUGGCCCAUAAAUAUCUUCUUUCGAGAAGUGUCUGCUCAUAUCCUUUGCCCAAUUUUUCACGAAGUUUUUUAUUUCUUGUAAAUUUGUUUAAGUUCCUUGUAGAUUAUUGAUAUUAGCCUUUUGUCAGAUGGAUAGAUUGCAAAAUUUUUCUCCCAUUCUCUAGGUUGCCUGUUCAUUCUGAUGUUAGUUUCUUUUGCUGUGCAGAAGCUCUUUAGCUUAAUUAGAUCUCAUUUGUUUAUUGUGGAUUUUGUUGCCAUUGCUCUUGGUGCUUUAGUCAUGAAGUCUUUGCCCAUGCCUCUGUCCUGGAUGGUAUUGCCUAGGUUUUCUUAUAGGAUUUGUAUGGUUUUAGGUCUUACAUUUAAUUCUUUAAUCUAUCUUGAGAAAAAUUUUGUAUAGGGUGUAAGGAAGGCAUUCAGUUUCAGUUUUCUGCGUAUGGCAAGCCAGUUUUCCCAACACCGUUUAUUGAAUAGGGAAUCCUUUGCCCAUUACUUGUUUUUGUCCAGUUUUGUCCAAAUUGUUGUAGAUGUGUGGUGUUAUUUCUGAGGCCGAUGUUCUGUUCCAUUGGUCUAUAUAUCUGUUUUGGUACCUGUACCAUGUUGUUUUGGUUACUGUAGCCUUGUAGUAUAGUUUGAAGUCAGGUAGCGUGAUGCCUCCAGCUUUUUUCUUUGCUUAGGAUUGUCUUGGCUAUACAGGUUCUUUUUUGAUUCCAUAUGAAAUUUAGUUUUUUUCUAAUUAUGUGAAGAAAGUCAAUGGUAGUUUGAUGGGAAUAGCAUUGAAUCUUUAAAUUACUUUGGGCAGUAUGGCCAUUCUUACGACACUGAUUCUUCCUAUCCAUGAGCAUGGAAUGUUUUUCCAUUUCUUUGUAUCCUUCCUUAUUUCCUUGAGCAGUGGUUUGUAGUUCUUCUUGAAGAGCUGCUUCACAUCCCUCACAGGUUGUAUUCCUAGGUAUUUUAUUCUCUUUGUAGCAAUUGUGAAUGUGAGUUCACUGAUGAUUUGGAUCUCUGUCUAUUAUUGGUGUAUAGGAAUGCUUGUGAUUUUUCCACAUUGAUUUUGUAUCCUGAGACUUUGCUGAAGUGGCUUACCAGCUUAAGGAUAUUUGGAAAUUAUCAGAAAUUUGUUCUUAUUUAAUUUUAAUAAAACUGAAAAAAACUCUUAGGAAGACUAAUCUUUUAAGAAGCAAACACAAAUUACCUAUGUUAGGAAUAUUAGACAUAAGUAUAAAUCAUUUAAAUGUUAAAACUAUAACAAUUGAAUAUGAAACAUUUUAAACCAAUAAAUUUGAAAAUUUGAAUGAAAUGAAAACAUUCUCUGAAAAUUCAACUUACCAAACGGACUUAAUAAUAAAUUAAAAAUCUGAAUUAUUUGAAAUCCCAUGAAGAAAUGAAUUCAAUUUAAGAAAUUUUCCCAUAAUGAACAUUUCAAACUAUAAUAGAUUAACCUGUGAAUUCUUCCAAACACCAAUAUUAUACAAAAUCUACCAGAUAAUAAGGAUGAUACACUUUCUACCUAUUUGUAUGGAGAUUACAUUACCAUGAUGCCAAAUCCCUACAAGAAUGGGAAAAGAAAAGAAAUCUACUGGCCAAUAUCUUUCAUCAAUCUAGUUCAAAAUCCUAAGUAAAAUACUAGACAAUAGAAUUCAGUGAUUAAAAAAGCAAUACUCCAAGACUAAGCCAUUUACUUCAGAAAAUCAAGGGUACAUUUUUACACUUGUAAAUCUAUCAGUGUAAUACACUACAUUAAUAAACACAUAAGUGAAAAUUUAUAUAAUCAUCUCAAUAGAAGCAGAAAAGUAAUCUGGUAAAAUUAGAUACCUAAUUAUGUUAAAAACAGUAAACUACAUCUUCAUAAUAAAAAAAUACAAAUUAAAAUCACAAUGCGAUACCACCACUACAAGAAUAAAUACAAUAUAAAAGAGUAUAUAUAUUAAAAAAAAAAAAA
Molecule: long non-coding RNA, 8064 nt
Organism: Macaca fascicularis (crab-eating macaque)
Lineage: Eukaryota; Metazoa; Chordata; Mammalia; Primates; Cercopithecidae
Source: Ensembl